UACCUGCAGCUCGAGUGGUAACCGCUAUUAUUGGGCCUAAAGCGUCCGUAGCCGGUUUGGUAAAUAUCUGGGUAAAUCGUGAGGCUUAACUUCACGAAUUUCGGAUAGACUGCCAGACUUGGGAUCGGGGGAGGUCAGAGGUACUCCAGGGGUAGCGGUGAAAUGUUGUAAUCCUUGGAGGACCACCGGUAGCGAAGGCGUCUGACUAGAACGAGUCCGACGGUGAGGGACGAAGCCCUGGGGCGCAAACCGGAUUAGAUACCCGGGUAGUCCAGGGUGUAAACAAUGUGGGCUUUGUAUUGGAGGUUCCACGUGGGCGUCCAGUGCAGAAGAGAAGUUGUUAAGCCCACCGCCUGGGAAGUACGGUCGCAAGGCUGAAACUUAAGGGAAUUGGCGGGGGAGCACAGCAACGGGAGGAGCGUGCGGUUU
Molecule: ribosomal RNA, 429 nt
Filed under: uncultured archaeon
Lineage: Archaea
Description: bacterial SSU rRNA
Rfam family: Archaeal small subunit ribosomal RNA
Source: RNAcentral